RNAcentral lists this ribosomal RNA (230 nucleotides) under uncultured fungus. RNAcentral's name for it is "partial 18S ribosomal RNA". It matches the Rfam family "Eukaryotic small subunit ribosomal RNA", at positions 40 to 274 of the family's 1831-position model. The record is from RNAcentral. Lineage: Eukaryota; Fungi.
AAGAUUAAGCCAUGCAUGUCUAAGUAUAAGCAAUUAUACAGCGAAACUGCGAAUGGCUCAUUAUAUAAGUUAUCGUUUAUUUGAUAGUACCUUACUACUUGGAUAACCGUGGUAAUUCUAGAGCUAAUACAUGCUAAAAAUCCCGACUUCGGAAGGGAUGUAUUUAUUAGAUACAAAACCAAUGCCCCUCGGGGCUCUCUGGUGAUUCAUGAUAACUCGUCGAAUCGCAC